Long non-coding RNA from Oncorhynchus gorbuscha (pink salmon), 1441 nucleotides. RefSeq lists it as uncharacterized. Lineage: Eukaryota; Metazoa; Chordata; Actinopteri; Salmoniformes; Salmonidae. The record is from RefSeq and is a predicted model, not a curated record. The transcript is spliced from 3 exons.
CUAUGCAACGUUGACGCGUGAAGGCCCACAAUGCUGUUCCUAUUAUUGGCUGAAAAUAUAACUUGGUCGCCAACGUUCCUAUAAUACCUCAUUAUACCGCAGGGUUGUCAAAUUCUCGUUUCUGAUUGGCUAGAUUAUGUUGCAAAGAAGCGAAACGGGAAGGGACCAUUCGUUGGGGACCUACGUGAAUUUUCCUAAUAGAAACUCGUUUUCAAACUGUUUGGACUAACGAUUACACCCAUGGUUUCUUUUUCAAUGAGUGAAAAAAAGUGCAUUAAUUGUCAUUGUUGAACAUUUCUUUAUUGAUUGAUUACCACAUUUUGACAGGUUGGCUAUUUUAGAUGACAUCAAAGUCCUCGUGGAAACUGACCAUCUUGCUGCAUCCUCGGAGGGAGAAGUUAGGGGCGGAGGUUUUGUUGAAGGUGGCAGGCCCCAGCACAGAGAGCUGCAUGUAAGCAACAGGGCCUGAGCGAAAGGACGCAAUCACAUUCCUGGUUGCAGAAGCCUUUGCUCCAAUCAGACAGGGAGUAGGCAAGGGCAGAUUAAUAUGCAGACUGCCCCGACCUCUCAGUGGAGUAGCGACCUGAAACACCGAACAGACAGUAAGAACACAGUUUCAUAUUAUAUGUUGAGUCUGUAUGUGUGUGUAAUUUAUGAGAGACACUGUGUGAGUUUUGAGCAUGCUUGUGUGUGUGUGUGUUACUGACCAGGUCCAGGGGUUUGGAACAACUGGGGGUCAUUGGGGCGGCUGUAGAGGGAGUAUGAAGGGGCCCCGUUAUUUCCAAUCCUGGUGAUUUUGGAGGGAACCAGGUACGCUGGCCCUGGGGAGUGGUCUGAGCUGAGCCGUUGGUGACGCAUCCCAAAACUGAACGCCGGCCCGGGGAGCGGUCUGAGCUGAGCUGUUGGUGACGUAUCCCAAAACUGAACGCCGGCCCUGGGGAGCGGUCUGAGCUGAGCUGUUGGUGUCGCAUCCCAAAACUGAACGCCGGCCCUGGGGAGCGGUCUGAGCUGAGCUGUUGCUGACGCAUCCCAAAACUGAACGUCGGCCCUGGGGAGCGGUCUGAGCUGAGCUGUUGGUGACGCAUCCCAAAACUGAACGCCGGCCCUGGGGAGCGGUCUGAGCUGAGCUGUUGGUGACGCAUCCCAAAACUGAACGCCGGCCCUGGGGAGCGGUCUGAGCUGUUGGUGACGCAUCCCAAAACUGAACGCCGGCCCUGGGGAGCGGUCUGAGCUGAGCUGUUGGUGACGCAUCCCAAAACUGAACGCCGGCCCUGGGGAGCGGUCUGAGCUGAGCUGUUGGUGACGCAUCCCAAAACUGAACGCCGGCCCUGGGGAGCGGUCUGAGCUGAGCUGUUGGUGACGCAUCCCAAAACUGAACGCCGGCCCUGGGGAGCGGUCUGAGCUGAGCUGUUGGUGACGCAUCCCAAAACUGAACGCCGGC